UACGUAGGGUGCAAGCGUUGUCCGGAAUUAUUGGGAGUAAAGAGCUCGUAGGCGGUUUGUAGCGUCGAAUGUGAAAACCCGGGGCUCAACCCCGGGCCUGCAUUCGAUACGGGCAGACUAGAGUUCGGUAGGGGAGUCUGGGAUUCCUGGUGUAGCGGUGAAAUGCGCAGAUAUCAGGAGGAACACCGGUGGCGAAGGCGGGACUCUGGGCCGAUACUGACGCUGAGGAGCGAAAGCGUGGGGAGCGAACAGG
Molecule: ribosomal RNA, 253 nt
Filed under: uncultured bacterium
Lineage: Bacteria
Description: partial 16S ribosomal RNA
Rfam family: Bacterial small subunit ribosomal RNA
Source: RNAcentral